GAAUAUAGGGCAAUGGGCGAAAGCCUGAGCCAGCAACGCCGCGUGAAGGAAGAAGGUGUUCGGAUUGUAAACUUCUGCCCUCAGGGAAGAAGGAAGUGACGGUACCUGAGCAGGUAGCCCCUGCUAACUACGUGCAAGCAGCCGCGGUAAUACGCAGGGGGCGAGCGUUGUCCGGAGAGACUGGGCGUAACGGGCGCGUAGACGGCUUUUUAAGUCGGGAGUGAAAGUCCUGCUUUCAAGGUGGGAAUUGCUUUGGAGACUGGAAGGCUGGAGUGCGGAAGAGGUAAGUGGAAUUCCCAGUGUAGCGGUGAAAUGCGUAGAGAUUGGGAAGAACACCAGUGGCGAAGGCGACUUACUGGGCCGUAACUGACGUUGAUGCGCGAAAGCGUGGGGAGCGAACA
RNAcentral lists this ribosomal RNA (401 nucleotides) under uncultured bacterium. RNAcentral describes it as "partial 16S ribosomal RNA". It matches the Rfam family "Bacterial small subunit ribosomal RNA", at positions 359 to 774 of the family's 1533-position model. The record is from RNAcentral.